Molecule: long non-coding RNA, 279 nt
Filed under: Schizosaccharomyces pombe (fission yeast)
Lineage: Eukaryota; Fungi; Ascomycota; Schizosaccharomycetes; Schizosaccharomycetales; Schizosaccharomycetaceae
Source: RNAcentral
ACACGUCAGAAAACACCAGCUGCCCUACAUAAUACGACCAAAAGGAAACAUAUCAUGUAAGAGAUCAUCGCAUAGAAAGACAGCAAAACAAUUAGGUAAAAAACCUAAUCGAAAAGCAUGCCUUCAAAGAAUUAAAAGUCCUCACUCUGAGGGCAACGGUGCCUCCUAUCAUCAUCCGUGUUGAGUUCUGUGGCUAGGUUAGGAAACCCAAGCCGGACGUAUACUAUAGAAAUGAUCCUAUGGAGUAUCGUCGAUAGUGUUUUGUUGAGGAUAAUGACC